GACGAACGCUGGCGGCGUGCUUAACACAUGCAAGUCGAACGGAAAGGCCCUGCUGUUGUGGGGUGCUCGAGUGGCGAACGGGUGAGUAACAAGUGAGUAACCUGCCCUUGACUUUGGGAUAACUUCAGGAAACUGGGGCUAAUACCGGAUAGGAGCUCCUGCUGCAUGGGGGGGGUUGGAAAGUUUCGGCGGUUGGGGAUGGACUCGCGGCUUAUCAGCUUGUUGGUGGGGUAGUGGCUUACCAAGGCUUUGACGGGUAGCCGGCCUGAGAGGGUGACCGGCAACAUUGGGCCUGAGAUACGGCCAAGCCUCCUCCGGGAGGCAGCAGGGGGGAAUAUUGCACAAGGGGCGGAAGCCUGAUGCAGCAACGCGGCGUGCGGGAUGCCGGCCUUCGGGUUGUAAACCGCUUUCGCCUGUGAGGAAGCGUGAGUGACGGUAAUGGGUAAAGAAGCACCGGCUAACUACGUG
Molecule: ribosomal RNA, 468 nt
Filed under: uncultured bacterium
Lineage: Bacteria
Description: partial 16S ribosomal RNA
Rfam family: Bacterial small subunit ribosomal RNA
Source: RNAcentral